GCAAAACCAAAAAGAACAUUGAGGUAACCAUUGAACACAUUGUCAACCUUUUAAUAUUGGUUGGUAAAUUCCAUAUUCAUAAAUGCAGAGUAUUGAAA
Molecule: long non-coding RNA, 98 nt
Organism: Thalassophryne amazonica
Lineage: Eukaryota; Metazoa; Chordata; Actinopteri; Batrachoidiformes; Batrachoididae
Exons: 4
Source: RefSeq, a predicted model, not a curated record